GAUCGGCCACACUGGAACUGAGACACGGUCCAGACUCCUACGGGAGGCAGCAGUAGGGAAUCUUCCGCAAUGGGCGAAAGCCUGACGGAGCAACGCCGCGUGAGUGAUGAAGGUCUUCGGAUCGUAAAACUCUGUUAUUAGGGAAGAACAUAUGUGUAAGUAACUGUGCACAUCUUGACGGUACCUAAUCAGAAAGCCACGGCUAACUACGUGCCAGCAGCCGCGGUAAUACGUAGGUGGCAAGCGUUAUCCGGAAUUAUUGGGCGUAAAGCGCGCGUAGGCGGUUUUUUAAGUCUGAUGUGAAAGCCCACGGCUCAACCGUGGAGGGUCAUUGGAAACUGGAAAACUUGAGUGCAGAAGAGGAAAGUGGAAUUCCAUGUGUAGCGGUGAAAUGCGCAGAGAUAUGGAGGAACACCAGUGGCGAAGGCGACUUUCUGGUCUGUAACUGACGCUGAUGUGCGAAAGCGUGGGGAUCAAACAGGAUUAGAU
RNAcentral lists this ribosomal RNA (489 nucleotides) under Staphylococcus aureus. RNAcentral describes it as "bacterial SSU rRNA". It matches the Rfam family "Bacterial small subunit ribosomal RNA", at positions 302 to 783 of the family's 1533-position model. Lineage: Bacteria; Bacillati; Bacillota; Bacilli; Caryophanales; Staphylococcaceae. The record is from RNAcentral.